UACGUAGGGUGCAAGCGUUAAUCGGAAUUACUGGGCGUAAAGCGUGCGCAGGCGGCUUUGCAAGACAGAUGUGAAAUCCCCGGGCUCAACCUGGGAACUGCAUUUGUGACUGCAUGGCUGGAGUGCGGCAGAGGGGGAUGGAAUUCCGCGUGUAGCAGUGAAAUGCGUAGAUAUCUGGAGGAACACCGGUGGCGAAGGCGGCAUCCUGGACCGAUACUGACGCUGAGGAGCGAAAGCCAGGGGAGCAAACGGG
This 253-nucleotide ribosomal RNA is filed under the name uncultured bacterium. RNAcentral's name for it is "partial 16S ribosomal RNA". It matches the Rfam family "Bacterial small subunit ribosomal RNA", at positions 524 to 776 of the family's 1533-position model. The record is from RNAcentral.